CGACCGGCGCACGGGUGAGUAACACGUAUCCAACCUACCCAUGACUCGGGGAUAGCCUUUCGAAAGAAAGAUUAAUACCCGAUGGUAUAUAUUUCCUGCAUGGGGAAUAUAUUAAAGAAUUUCGGUGAUGGAUGGGGAUGCGUUCCAUUAGUUUGUUGGCGGGGUAACGGCCCACCAAGACUUCGAUGGAUAGGGGUUCUGAGAGGAAGGUCCCCCACAUUGGAACUGAGACACGGUCCAAACUCCUACGGGAGGCAGCAGUGAGGAAUAUUGGUCAAUGGACGAGAGUCUGAACCAGCCAAGUAGCGUGAAGGAUGACUGCCCUUUGGGUUGUAAACUUCUUUUAUAUGGGAAUAAAGUGGGGUAUGUAUACCCUUUUGUAUGUACCAUUAUGAAUAAGCAUCGGCUAACUCCGUGCCAGCAGCCGCGGUAAUACGGAGGAUGCGAGCGUUAUCCGGAUUUAUUGGGUUUAAAGGGAGCGUAGGUGGGCGAUUAAGUCAGUUGUGAAAGUUUGGGGCUCAACCUUAAAAUUGCAGUUGAUACUGAUUGUCUUGAGUGCGUUAAAGGUGGGCGGAAUUCGUGGUGUAGCGGUG
This 593-nucleotide ribosomal RNA is filed under the name uncultured Parabacteroides sp. Its description in RNAcentral is "bacterial SSU rRNA". It matches the Rfam family "Bacterial small subunit ribosomal RNA", at positions 92 to 683 of the family's 1533-position model. The record is from RNAcentral. Lineage: Bacteria; Pseudomonadati; Bacteroidota; Bacteroidia; Bacteroidales; Tannerellaceae.